GGUGUUGGGGUGGUUGGGGUAUUUCAACCAUGAUAAAUUUCUAAGAUGUUAUAAAUGGAUCUCUAAACCAAGAACCAAACUGAUAGUAUUGAAAAGCAACAAUAUCCAUUUCCAUUCACCAUAUAUUCAAGAGCAAUUAAAUAUAACAAUCUAUUUAAUGCAACAUUAAUUUCAAAAUGGUAAUCAGAACACACACACACUCUAUACCUGCUUGCAAGGAACUCCCUUC
This 229-nucleotide unclassified non-coding RNA is filed under the name Hevea brasiliensis (rubber tree). The record is from RNAcentral. Lineage: Eukaryota; Viridiplantae; Streptophyta; Magnoliopsida; Malpighiales; Euphorbiaceae.